AGAGUUUGAUUCUGGCUCAGGAUGAACGCCGGCGGUGUGCCUAAUACAUGCAAGUCGUACGCACUGGCCCAACUGAUUGAUGGUGCUUGCACCUGAUUGACGAUGGAUCACCAGUGAGUGGCGGACGGGUGAGUAACACGUAGGUAACCUGCCUCGGAGCGGGGGAUAACAUUUGGAAACAGAUGCUAAUACCGCAUAACAACAAAAGCCACAUGGCUUUUGUUUGAAAGAUGGCUUUGGCUAUCACUCUGGGAUGGACCUGCGGUGCAUUAGCUAGUUGGUAAGGUAACGGCUUACCAAGGCAAUGAUGCAUAGCCGAGUUGAGAGACUGAUCGGCCACAAUGGAACUGAGACACGGUCCAUACUCCUACGGGAGGCAGCAGUAGGGAAUCUUCCACAAUGGGCGCAAGCCUGAUGGAGCAACACCGCGUGAGUGAAGAAGGGUUUCGGCUCGUAAAGCUCUGUUGUUGGAGAAGAACGUGCGUGAGAGUAACUGUUCACGCAGUGACGGUAUCCAACCAGAAAGUCACGGCUAACUACGUGCCAGCAGCCGCGGUAAUACGUAGGUGGCAAGCGUUAUCCGGAUUUAUUGGGCGUAAAGCGAGCGCAGGCGGUUGCUUAGGUCUGAUGUGAAAGCCUUCGGCUUAACCGAAGAAGUGCAUCGGAAACCGGGCGACUUGAGUGCAGAAGAGGACAGUGGAACUCCAUGUGUAGCGGUGGAAUGCGUAGAUAUAUGGAAGAACACCAGUGGCGAAGGCGGCUGUCUGGUCUGCAACUGACGCUGAGGCUCGAAAGCAUGGGUAGCGAACAGGAUUAGAUACCCUGGUAGUCCAUGCCGUAAACGAUGAGCGCUAGGUGUUGGAGGGUUUCCGCCCUUCAGUGCCGGAGCUAACGCAUUAAGCACUCCGCCUGGGGAGUACGACCGCAAGGUUGAAACUCAAAGGAAUUGACGGGGGCCCGCACAAGCGGUGGAGCAUGUGGUUUAAUUCGAAGCUACGCGAAGAACCUUACCAGGUCUUGACAUCUUGCGCUAACCUUAGAGAUAAGGCGUUCCCUUCGGGGACGCAAUGACAGGUGGUGCAUGGUCGUCGUCAGCUCGUGUCGUGAGAUGUUGGGUUAAGUCCCGCAACGAGCGCAACCCUUGUUACUAGUUGCCAGCAUUAAGUUGGGCACUCUAGUGAGACUGCCGGUGACAAACCGGAGGAAGGUGGGGACGACGUCAGAUCAUCAUGCCCCUUAUGACCUGGGCUACACACGUGCUACAAUGGACGGUACAACGAGUCGCAAGCUCGCGAGAGUAAGCUAAUCUCUUAAAGCCGUUCUCAGUUCGGACUGUAGGCUGCAACUCGCCUACACGAAGUCGGAAUCGCUAGUAAUCGCGGAUCAGCAUGCCGCGGUGAAAACGUUCCCGGGCCUUGCACACACCGCCCGUCA
RNAcentral lists this ribosomal RNA (1434 nucleotides) under uncultured bacterium. Its description in RNAcentral is "bacterial SSU rRNA". It matches the Rfam family "Bacterial small subunit ribosomal RNA". The record is from RNAcentral.